RNAcentral lists this ribosomal RNA (430 nucleotides) under uncultured bacterium. RNAcentral describes it as "partial 16S ribosomal RNA". It matches the Rfam family "Bacterial small subunit ribosomal RNA", at positions 29 to 507 of the family's 1533-position model. The record is from RNAcentral.
ACGAACGCUGGCGGCAGGCUUAACACCUGCCAGUCGCGCGCCCCGCAAGGGGAGCGGCCGACGGGUGAGUAACGCGUGGGAACGUACCUUUUGGUUCGGAACAACUCCGGGAAACUGGAGCUAAUACCGGAUAAGCCCUAACGGGGAAAGAUUUAUCGCCGAAAGAUCGGCCCGCGUCUGAUUAGCUAGUUGGUGAGGUAACGGCUCACCAAGGCGACGAUCAGUAGCUGGUCUGAGAGGAUGAUCAGCCACACUGGGACUGAGACACGGCCCAGACUCCUACGGGAGGCAGCAGUGGGGAAUAUUGGACAAUGGGCGCAAGCCUGAUCCAGCCAUGCCGCGUGAGUGACGAAGGCCUUAGGGUUGUAAAGCUCUUUUGUCCGGGAAGAUAAUGACUGUACCGGAAGAAUAAGCCCCGGCUAACUUCGUG